CGGAGCCCGGCACUUACCUGGCGCUGCCUCCCGGCCGCUCCGGCGGUCCCGCGCCGCGCGCCCGAUCACCACGGGGUGUUUUGGGGUUGUUUGUUUUUUUUUUUAGAAAGCCCAGAAGCGAAGCGUCCCUUCCUCCAGUUUGGAACCAUCUGUGACUGGAGCCAUGACGCAGCCAGAGCACAUUACUCACUUUUACAGUCACGACUUGGAAAUCCGUGCAGUUUCCAACCAAAAUUACACCGCCACCAUUGAAUUAUUUAAUAGGAUCCAGUUAAGGAGCCACCGCUUCCGAGUUCCGACGAUUGGCUGCACGUGCUGCAAGGGCUUUUUUUCCUUUAAACCCCGACCAAACAAACCGGGGACGGGUCCGUUUGUAAAUACGACCACGCGCGCUCGGGAAAGGGACGCUUCGGUUCCUACAUUCGGGGCGUCCGUGGGCGGAGUGCCGCGGUGCGGCUCCGCGGGGCUCGGCGCGAGGAGCGGCGCUUUGUGU
RNAcentral lists this long non-coding RNA (493 nucleotides) under Gallus gallus (chicken). RNAcentral's name for it is "lncRNA (ENSGALG00010023628.1)". Lineage: Eukaryota; Metazoa; Chordata; Aves; Galliformes; Phasianidae. The record is from RNAcentral.